AGCAGCAGGGGGGCUUUCGGGUGACGGCAGAAGAAGGGACAGGCUCCUGCUUCUUCUCUUUUUCUCUUCUUGCUAUCUACUGCUCACAGGGCUUCAGUAAUGGAGAUCCUUCAAAGUAACCAACGAACAUGAAUAAACACCUCAAGCCUAUUUACGUAGACACUCCGUUGUCGAACCACGUUAAUUUCGUUUCAUGAUUUCGAUCCAUAUUUGAUGUUUACUUCUUCUUUUUUUGAAGCAUGAUAUUUGGUGUUUACUGUUUGUUUUAUCAUUUCAUUAUUUGGUUGUGCUAUCAAUUAAUGGUAGUAACACAGCCAUGGCGUAUCCAGCUCCAAUAAUUGAUGAAGCCAUCCCGCUGGUCUUCUCCGAAAUACACCUAGGCCACUGAGGACCCUAAUUGAGGAAUGCUGCCAUGAUGAGCCUAACCAGCUACCGUGUUUCAGUGAGAUAAUUUGUCGAUUGGUAGAGUUGGGUCGCCUGAGGCUGGCAUUGACAAGACAAGUAACGCUCUAGCAGCUGCUUUUGCAGCUGUUGGGGUGGUCAAGACUUUGACCCAAUGUUGACUAAACCCCUAAACAGAAAAGUGUGGUUUUCAGAGAUAAACAUUUAUUGCUCGAUGAAAAUUUAGCAUAAUUGCGUAGACACAACAAAAUCUAGUAUCAAAGACUACCGAUUUUUGGGGAUCGAUUGAAGAAUUAUUAUCUUAGGAAAAAAUAAAAAUAUAUACCUAGCAUUUAUCAUAAAAUAUUACUCUACUCAAUUACAAGUGUACCCAAAUUUAUAAUUAUUUAGAUGAUAAAUAUUUAAAAUUUUCGUAAGUAUAAGUUCACAUGGGUGAAAAUAAGUCUUGCGGUUGUUGCCUGUAAUUUUUAAAAUCGUUAUAACAGAAAAUUAUUAUGUCUCA
This is a long non-coding RNA of Papaver somniferum (opium poppy), 904 nucleotides long. RefSeq lists it as uncharacterized. Lineage: Eukaryota; Viridiplantae; Streptophyta; Magnoliopsida; Ranunculales; Papaveraceae. The record is from RefSeq and is a predicted model, not a curated record. The transcript is spliced from 2 exons.